UCCCAUAUCUUUUUCAGAUUUGAAACCUCCUGCGUUUCUGGGAAGCACACCAAGUCAAGAGAGGAGAGCUACUGGGAGUCUACAUGCUCAUGCUUGAUGAAUAGAUUUCUUUCAAUUCAAUAUCAACAAGUGUGGUUUACUGAUUCUUUAGGAGGAAAAGAAACUGAGGAAAGUGCCGAGGUUCGCUAACGCUUGUGGAGCCAUCACGACAACCAAGAAAGGAGCCAUUCCAGCUCUUCCUUCAGACAGUGAAGCUCUCAGCUUUAUUAAAGACCACCAGAGACGUAGUAACAACCCUUUUAAGUUCAAAAAUUGCGCUUCUUAUAUUGUAGUAAUUGCUCAUGAUUCUUAUUUGAGAUAAAAAAAAAGAUCUCAAUGUUGUAUCUCUUCUGUUUGUAUCCUUCAUCUCUUGCUAAUAGAAGAAUAAAAAGAGUUUGUUCUUUUUUU
Molecule: long non-coding RNA, 447 nt
Organism: Brassica napus (rape)
Lineage: Eukaryota; Viridiplantae; Streptophyta; Magnoliopsida; Brassicales; Brassicaceae
Exons: 2
Source: RefSeq, a predicted model, not a curated record